UGAUAAUAUUACGGUUUUACAUAACAAUAAAACCGAUAUUAUGUGCCGAGAAGGAAAACAUACAGCAUUGUAUUAUGAAGAAGCAGUGUGUACUUAGCUUAAAUUCCUUGUCUAUGUCCAACCAUAGACAGUCAAUUUAGUUCCAUCUUUAGCCGCUAGGUGCUGCCAGCAAGUAUAAAGGAAGCGCAGCCAUCUUUGAUCUUCAUAGUCUUCACCAGGAAGACCUUCCUGCAAUGCUGUAUGUUUUCCUUCUCGGCACAUAAUAUCGGUUUUAUUGUUAUGUAAAACCGUAAUAUUGAUGUGCCUUUGGAAAACAUACAGCAUUGUAUUAUGAAGACGUGUUUGUUAUCUGCUGGUGAAAUUAUUAAGCACAACGCUAUGAUGAAAUAGAAAGUCGACAGCGCUGCUUUAUGCAGAAGGAUUGUUGUACAGGAAAAAUUUUAUUUUUGGAAAAGAAAACAGAAUUUGGCAACAUCUGCAGACUUAGGAUCAAUUUUAAAACUGUAGCACCAUAUGCACCAUCUUCUAGUUGCUGGUAAGUAUGCUGACAAAGUGGAUUGACACCAGCUAAUUUUCAAUAAAUCUUCUCCUGUGUA
Long non-coding RNA from Bombyx mori (domestic silkworm), 596 nucleotides. RefSeq lists it as uncharacterized. The transcript is spliced from 2 exons. NCBI's taxonomy places the organism in Eukaryota, Metazoa, Arthropoda, Insecta, Lepidoptera, Bombycidae. The record is from RefSeq and is a predicted model, not a curated record.